Molecule: ribosomal RNA, 448 nt
Filed under: uncultured bacterium
Lineage: Bacteria
Description: bacterial SSU rRNA
Rfam family: Bacterial small subunit ribosomal RNA
Source: RNAcentral
GUCCAGACUCCUACGGGAGGCAGCAGUGGGGAAUAUUGCACAAUGGGGGAAACCCUGAUGCAGCGACGCCGCGUGAAGGAAGAAGUAUUUCGGUAUGUAAACUUCUAUCAGCAGGGAAGAAAAUGACGGUACCUGACUAAGAAGCCCCGGCUAACUACGUGCCAGCAGCCACGGUAAUACGUAGGGGGCAAGCGUUAUCCGGAUUUACUGGGUGUAAAGGGAGCGUAGACGGCAGUGCAAGUCCGGAGUGAAAGCCCGGGGCUCAACCCUGGGACUGCUCUGGAAACUGUAAAGCUGGAGUGCGGGAGGGGCAGGCGGAAUUCCUGGUGUAGCGGUGAAAUGCGUAGAUAUCAGGAGGAACACCGGCGGCGAAGGCGGCCUGCUGGACCGCGACUGACGUUGAUGCGCGAAAGCGUGGGGAGCAAACAGGAUUAGAUACCCCUGUAAU